AACGAACGCUGGCGGCAUGCCUAACACAUGCAAGUCGAACGAGACCUUCGGGUCUAGUGGCGCACGGGUGCGUAACGCGUGGGAACCUGCCCUUAGGUUCGGAAUAACUCCCCGAAAGGGGUGCUAAUACCGGAUAAUGUCUUCGGACCAAAGAUUUAUCGCCUUUGGAUGGGCCCGCGUUGGAUUAGCUAGUUGGUAGGGUAAAAGCCUACCAAGGCGACGAUCCAUAGCUGGUCUGAGAGGAUGAUCAGCCACACUGGGACUGAGACAUGGCCCAGACUCCUACGGGAGGCAGCAGUGGGGAAUAUUGGGCAAUGGGCGAAAGCCUGAUCCAGCAAUGCCGCGUGAGUGAUGAAGGCCUUAGGGUUGUAAAGCUCUUUUACCCGGGAUGAUAAUGACAGUACCGGGAGAAUAAGCUCCGGCUAACUCCGUG
Molecule: ribosomal RNA, 433 nt
Filed under: uncultured bacterium
Lineage: Bacteria
Description: partial 16S ribosomal RNA
Rfam family: Bacterial small subunit ribosomal RNA
Source: RNAcentral